This 77-nucleotide transfer RNA is filed under the name Ruminococcus sp. RNAcentral's name for it is "tRNA-Met". It matches the Rfam family "tRNA". Rfam says of the family: Transfer RNA (tRNA) molecules are approximately 80 nucleotides in length. Their secondary structure includes four short double-helical elements and three loops (D, anti-codon, and T loops). Lineage: Bacteria; Bacillati; Bacillota; Clostridia; Eubacteriales; Oscillospiraceae. RNAcentral also lists the same sequence under 2 other names. The record is from RNAcentral.
GGCGGCAUAGCUCAGCUGGCUAGAGCACUUGGUUCAUACCCAGGGUGUCGGUGGUUCAAGUCCACUUGCCGCUACCA